This 253-nucleotide ribosomal RNA is filed under the name uncultured bacterium. Its description in RNAcentral is "partial 16S ribosomal RNA". It matches the Rfam family "Bacterial small subunit ribosomal RNA", at positions 524 to 776 of the family's 1533-position model. The record is from RNAcentral.
UACGUAGGUGGCAAGCGUUGUCCGGAUUUACUGGGUGUAAAGGGCGUGCAGCCGGAGAGACAAGUCAGAUGUGAAAUCCACGGGCUCAACCCGUGAACUGCAUUUGAAACUGUUUCCCUUGAGUGUCGGAGAGGUAAUCGGAAUUCCUUGUGUAGCGGUGAAGUGCGUAGAUAUAAGGAAGAACACCAGUGGCGAAGGCGGAUUACUGGACGAUAACUGACGGUGAGGCGCGAAAGCGUGGGGAGCAAACAGG